Molecule: ribosomal RNA, 253 nt
Filed under: uncultured bacterium
Lineage: Bacteria
Description: partial 16S ribosomal RNA
Rfam family: Bacterial small subunit ribosomal RNA
Source: RNAcentral
UACGGGGGGGGCAAGCGUUGUUCGGAAUUACUGGGCGUAAAGGGUUCGUAGGUGGCCUGCUAAGUCAGACGUGAAAUCCCUCAGCUUAACUGGGGAACUGCGUCUGAUACUGGUGGGCUUGAGUGCAGGAGAGGAACGCGGAAUUCCAGGUGUAGCGGUGAAAUGCGUAGAUAUCUGGAGGAACACCGGUGGCGAAGGCGGCGUUCUGGGCCGGUACUGACACUGAGGAGCGAAAGCGUGGGUAGCAAACAGG